This 497-nucleotide ribosomal RNA is filed under the name uncultured bacterium. RNAcentral's name for it is "partial 16S ribosomal RNA". It matches the Rfam family "Bacterial small subunit ribosomal RNA", at positions 28 to 507 of the family's 1533-position model. The record is from RNAcentral.
GAUGAACGCUGGCGGCGUGCCUAAUACAUGCAAGUCGAGCGAACAGACGAGGAGCUUGCUCCUCUGACGUUAGCGGCGGACGGGUGAGUAACACGUGGAUAACCUACCUAUAAGACUGGGAUAACUUCGGGAAACCGGAGCUAAUACCGGAUAAUAUAUUGAACCGCAUGGUUCAAUAGUGAAAGACGGUUUUGCUGUCACUUAUAGAUGGAUCCGCGCCGCAUUAGCUAGUUGGUAAGGUAACGGCUUACCAAGGCAACGAUGCGUAGCCGACCUGAGAGGGUGAUCGGCCACACUGGAACUGAGACACGGUCCAGACUCCUACGGGAGGCAGCAGUAGGGAAUCUUCCGCAAUGGGCGAAAGCCAGACGGAGCAACGCCGCGUGAAUGAUGAAGGUCUUCGGAUCGUAAAACUCUGUUAUUAGGGAAGAACAAAUGUGUAAGUAACUAUGCACGUCUUGACGGUACCUAAUCAGAAAGCCACGGCUAACUACGUG